GACGAACGCUGGCGGCGUGCUUAACACAUGCAAGUCGAACGGAAAGGCCCUGCUUGCAGGGUACUCGAGUGGCGAACGGGUGAGUAACACGUGGGUGAUCUGCCCUGCACUUCGGGAUAAGCCUGGGAAACUGGGUCUAAUACCGGAUAGGAGCCAUUUUUAGUGUGAUGGUUGGAAAGUUUUUUCGGUGUAGGAUGAGCUCGCGGCCUAUCAGCUUGUUGGUGGGGUAAUGGCCUACCAAGGCGGCGACGGGUAGCCGGCCUGAGAGGGUGGACGGCCACAUUGGGACUGAGAUACGGCCCAGACUCCUACGGGAGGCAGCAGUGGGGAAUAUUGCACAAUGGGGGCAAGCCUGAUGCAGCGACGCCGCGUGGGGGAUGACGGCCUUCGGGUUGUAAACUCCUUUCGCUAGGGACGAAGCUUUUUGUGACGGUACAUAGAUAAGAAGCACCGGCUAACUACGUG
RNAcentral lists this ribosomal RNA (465 nucleotides) under uncultured bacterium. Its description in RNAcentral is "partial 16S ribosomal RNA". It matches the Rfam family "Bacterial small subunit ribosomal RNA", at positions 28 to 507 of the family's 1533-position model. The record is from RNAcentral.